GAUGAACGCUGGCGGCGUGCUUAACACAUGCAAGUCGAACGAUGAACCUCACUUGUGGGGGGAUUAGUGGCGAACGGGUGAGUAACACGUGAGUAACCUGCCCUUGACUCUGUGAUAAGCCUGGGAAACCGGGUCUAAUACUGGAUACGACCUUCUGGCGCAUGCCAUGUUGGUGGAAAGCUUUUGUGGUUUUGGAUGGACUCGCGGCCUAUCAGCUUGUUGGUGGGGUAAUGGCCUACCAAGGCGACGCAGGGGAGCCGGCGUGAGGGGGUGACCGGCCACACUGGGACUGAGAGGCGGCGCAGAAUGCUACGGACGGCAGCGGGGGGCAAUAGUGCACAAUGGGGGAAAGCCGGAUGAAGCGAGGCGGAGUGAGGGAGGGAGGCCUUCGGGGUGUAACCCUCUGUCAGUAGGGAUGAAGCCGGCUUUUGGGUUGGUGACGGUACCUGCAGAAGAAGCGCCGGCUAACUACGUG
This 475-nucleotide ribosomal RNA is filed under the name uncultured bacterium. RNAcentral describes it as "partial 16S ribosomal RNA". It matches the Rfam family "Bacterial small subunit ribosomal RNA", at positions 28 to 507 of the family's 1533-position model. The record is from RNAcentral.